This 502-nucleotide ribosomal RNA is filed under the name uncultured bacterium. RNAcentral's name for it is "bacterial SSU rRNA". It matches the Rfam family "Bacterial small subunit ribosomal RNA", at positions 355 to 874 of the family's 1533-position model. The record is from RNAcentral.
UGAGGAAUAUUGAGCAAUGGGCGCAAGCCUGACUCAGCAACGCCGCGUGGACGAUGACGGCCUUCGGGUUGUAAAGUCCUUUUCUGAGGGACGAUGAUGACGGUACCUCAGGAACAAGUCCCGGCUAACUACGUGCCAGCAGCCGCGGUAAAACGUAGGGGGCGAGCGUUAUCCGGAUUUACUGAGCGUAAAGCGCAUGUAGGCGGUGGGAUAAGUCAGCCGUGAAAGCUCCCGGCUUAACUGGGAGAGGUCGGUUGAAACUAUCCGACUGGAGGUUGGAAGAGGAGAGUGGAAUUCCCGGUGUAGUGGUGGAAUGCGUAGAUAUCGGGAGGAACACCAGUGGCGAAAGCGGCUCUCUGGACCAAUUCUGACGCUGAGAUGCGAAAGCGUGGGGAGCAAACGGGAUUAGAUACCCGGUAGUCCACGCUGUAAACGAUGGAGACUAGGUGUCGGCGGUCAUUUACCCCGUCGGUGCCGCAGCUAACGCGUUAAGUCUCCGCCU